GGGGAAUAUUGGACAAUGGGGGGAACCCUGAUCCAGCCAUGCCGCGUGUGUGAAGAAGGCCUUAUGGUUGUAAAGCACUUUAAGCGAGGAGGAGGCUCUCUUGGUUAAUACCCAAGAUGAGUGGACGUUACUCGCAGAAUAAGCACCGGCUAACUCUGUGCCAGCAGCCGCGGUAAUACAGAGGGUGCGAGCGUUAAUCGGAUUUACUGGGCGUAAAGCGUGCGUAGGCGGCUUUUUAAGUCGGAUGUGAAAUCCCCGAGCUUAACUUGGGAAUUGCAUUCGAUACUGGGAAGCUAGAGUAUGGGAGAGGAUGGUAGAAUUCCAGGUGUAGCGGUGAAAUGCGUAGAGAUCUGGAGGAAUACCGAUGGCGAAGGCAGCCAUCUGGCCUAAUACUGACGCUGAGGUACGAAAGCAUGGGGAGCAAAC
Molecule: ribosomal RNA, 426 nt
Filed under: uncultured bacterium
Lineage: Bacteria
Description: bacterial SSU rRNA
Rfam family: Bacterial small subunit ribosomal RNA
Source: RNAcentral